RNAcentral lists this long non-coding RNA (363 nucleotides) under Mus musculus (house mouse). Its description in RNAcentral is "RIKEN cDNA A930004D18 gene". The record is from RNAcentral. Lineage: Eukaryota; Metazoa; Chordata; Mammalia; Rodentia; Muridae.
AGGCCGAGCAGCUACUCCAGCCGCUGCACCUACUUGGUGACACCCUGCUGGGCUCUGGGGUCCUCACGAAGAGAGGCUGUGCCGGGACCAUGCGCCCAAGGUCCGAGGAUGUCCUCUGCGACCUGCGGCGGGCGUGUGGGUUCAGGCCCAAACGAGUCCCAGGAGUUUCUCAGCGCCUGGAAGUAGACGUGGUCUCUCUAGCCCCUGGCGUCAGUCUUUACCCUUCCUCUUCCUGGAGACCCGGGAGGCCGCGACGUGGAAAGAGAGGCGGGAAAGCCCGCACGGAGCUGCCCAAGUAGAGGGCGGUGGGGCUCAGGGGACUCUAAAGGCGAGAACUGAGGGUCGGAAGCCUGGGGACAAUCC